CAGUCGCCGCGGUAAUACGUAGGGUGCAAGCGUUAAUCGGAAUUACUGGGCGUAAAGCGUGCGCAGGCGGUUUUGUAAGACAGAGGUGAAAUCCCCGGGCUCAACCUGGGAACUGCCUUUGUGACUGCAAGGCUAGAGUACGGCAGAGGGGGAUGGAAUUCCGCGUGUAGCAGUGAAAUGCGUAGAUAUGCGGAGGAACACCGAUGGCGAAGGCAAUCCCCUGGGCCUGUACUGACGCUCAUGCACGAAAGCGUGGGGAGCAAACAGGAUUAGAUACCCCUGUAGUCCCUGUCUCUUAUAC
Molecule: ribosomal RNA, 301 nt
Filed under: uncultured bacterium
Lineage: Bacteria
Description: partial 16S ribosomal RNA
Rfam family: Bacterial small subunit ribosomal RNA
Source: RNAcentral